ACGUAAAAUGAGUAUUCCGGAUCUUUUGUAUCGAGCUGAUUAGGAUUGGAUAUAGGUUUUUUUAUGAUUUUAGGUCCUAAAUGCAAAUCGUGUUCGUUCGUAAUUUUGUACAACAGUACAUAACUAUUUAGUUUUAGUAGAUUUUGACUCAAUAGUAUAUUUCGCUUGAUAUCGAUCGAUACGUCCCUGAGUUGUUUGUAUAAGUAACACGGAAAAACCUUAACAGUUUUUUUAUUCGUCUGCUCCAACCAUGUAAACUGUUUUGAUUCCGAUUCGUCAAAUGGUUGGACAUACUUGAUACUACCAAAAUUAUUGCAACGAUGAAUUAACAAUAAAAAAUAAUCGUUUUCCGUAUUUAAAUUUCUCCAAUCCACGGACAUCCGCUUAUGUGCUAGUUCUCUCGUCAAGAAUUCAGAAAGAUUGCGUGUAUCGUGGGAUAUUCCUUUGAGAUUGCAUAAGGACGUAACUUGUGUUAAAAUAUCCAAAGCAUUGAAUAGAUUCCUAUGGAAUUGGUUACUCGGUAUACGAUAUUUACUACUUAAAAAAUUGUGAAUCGGCC
Molecule: non-coding RNA, 559 nt
Organism: Cinara cedri
Lineage: Eukaryota; Metazoa; Arthropoda; Insecta; Hemiptera; Aphididae
Source: the annotation of a GenBank genome assembly